This 369-nucleotide ribosomal RNA is filed under the name uncultured organism. RNAcentral's name for it is "bacterial SSU rRNA". It matches the Rfam family "Bacterial small subunit ribosomal RNA", at positions 526 to 896 of the family's 1533-position model. The record is from RNAcentral.
CGAAUGGAGCGAGCGUUGUUCGGAAUCACUGGGCGUAAAGCGUGCGCAGGCGGUUGUGAAAGUCAGAAGUGAAAUCCCAGGGCUCAACCCUGGAAUUGCUUUUGAAACUUCACGACUAGAGUACUGGAGGGGUUGGCGGAAUUUCGAGUGUAGCAGUGAAAUGCGUAGAUAUUCGAAGGAACACCGAUGGCGUAGGCAGCCAACUGGACAGUUACUGACGCUCAGGCACGAAAGCGUGGGGAUCAAACAGGAUUAGAUACCCUGGUAGUCCACGCCGUAAACGAUGUGUGCUAGUUGUCGGGAUCUUAGAUCUCGGUGACGCAGCUAACGCUUUAAGCACACCGCCUGGGGAGUACGGUCGCAAGAUUA